CAGCCGCCGCGUUAAUACAGAGGGUGCGAGCGUUAAUCGGAUUUACUGGGCGUAAAGCGUGCGUAGGCGGCUUCUUAAGUCGGAUGUGAAAUCCCUGAGCUUAACUUAGGAAUUGCAUUCGAUACUGGGAAGCUAGAGUAUGGGAGAGGAUGGUAGAAUUCCAGGUGUAGCGGUGAAAUGCGUAGAGAUCUGGAGGAAUACCGAUGGCGAAGGCAGCCAUCUGGCCUAAUACUGACGCUGAGGUACGAAAGCAUGGGGAGCAAACAGGAUUAGAUACCCCUGUAGUCCCUGUCUCUUAUAC
Molecule: ribosomal RNA, 301 nt
Filed under: uncultured bacterium
Lineage: Bacteria
Description: partial 16S ribosomal RNA
Rfam family: Bacterial small subunit ribosomal RNA
Source: RNAcentral